UACGGAGGGUGCAAGCGUUAUCCGGAUUCACUGGGUUUAAAGGGUGCGUAGGCGGGUAGGUAAGUCAGUGGUGAAAUCCUGGAGCUCAACUCCAGAACUGCCAUUGAUACUAUCUAUCUUGAAUAUUGUGGAGGUAAGCGGAAUAUGUCAUGUAGCGGUGAAAUGCUUAGAUAUGACAUAGAACACCCAUUGCGAAGGCAGCUUACUACGCAUAUAUUGACGCUGAGGCACGAAAGCGUGGGGAUCAAACAGGAUUAGAUACCCUGGUAGUCCACGCCCUAAACUAUGGAUACUCGACAUAUGCGAUGCACUGUAUGUGUCUGAGCGAAAGCAUUAAGUAUCCCACCUGGGAAGUACGUUCGCAAGAAUGAAACUCAAAGGAAUUGGCGGGGGUCCGCACAAGCGGUGGAGUAUGUGGUUUAAUUCGAUGAUACGCGAGGAACCUUACCUGGGCUAGAAUGCUGGGAGACCGCUAGUGAAAGCUAGUUUUGUAGCAAUACACUGCCAGUAAGGUGCUGCAUGGCCGUCGUCAGCUCGUGCCGUGAGGUGUUGGGUUAAGUCCCGCAACGAGCGCAACCCCUAUCUUUAGUUGCCAACAGGUAAUGCUGGGAACUCUAAAGAAACUGCCGCCGUAAGGUGUGAGGAAGGAGGGGGUGAUGUCAGGUCAUCAUGGCCUUUAUGCCCAGGGCUACACACGUACUACAAUGGGGGAGACAAAGGGCUGCAACAUAGCGAUAUGAAGCCAAUCCCAAAAACUCCCUCUCAGUUCAGAUUGCAGGCUGCAACUCGCCUGCAUGAAGCUGGAAUCGCUAGUAAUCGUAUAUCAGCAAUGAUACGGUGAAUACGUUCCCGGACCU
This 857-nucleotide ribosomal RNA is filed under the name uncultured bacterium. Its description in RNAcentral is "SSU rRNA". It matches the Rfam family "Bacterial small subunit ribosomal RNA", at positions 524 to 1381 of the family's 1533-position model. The record is from RNAcentral.